Molecule: ribosomal RNA, 253 nt
Filed under: uncultured bacterium
Lineage: Bacteria
Description: partial 16S ribosomal RNA
Rfam family: Bacterial small subunit ribosomal RNA
Source: RNAcentral
GACGUAGGGCGCGAGCGUUGUCCGGAUUUAUUGGGCGUAAAGAGCGUGUAGGCGGCCAGACAGGUCCGUUGUGAAAACUCGAGGCUCAACCUCGAGACGCCGAUGGAAACCGUCUGGCUAGAGUCCGGAAGAGGAGAGUGGAAUUCCUGGUGUAGCGGUGAAAUGCGCAGAUAUCAGGAAGAACACCCGUGGCUAAGGCGGCUCUCUAGUACGGUACUGACGCUGAGACGCGAAAGCGUGGGGAGCGAACAGG